AGAGAGAGACAUGCGCGCAUAUCAAUAAGCGGAGGAAAAGAAACUAACAAGGAUUCCCCUAGUAACGGCGAGUGAAGCGGGAAGAGCUCAAAUUUGAAAUCUUAAAGGGCUUCCCUUUACGAAUUGUAGUUUAAAGAAGUGUUUUCUGUUGAGGUUUUGGUAAAAGUUCUUUGGAAUAGGACAUCAUAGAGGGUGAGAAUCCCGUAUUUGACCUUUACUUUCAACUUUGUGAUACACUUUCAAAGAGUCGGAUUGUUUGGGAAUGCAGUCCAAAAUGGGUGGUAAAUUUCAUCUAAAGCUAAAUAUCGGCGAGAGACCGAUAGCGAACAAGUACCGUGAGGGAAAGAUGAAAAGAACUUUGAAAAGAGAGUUAAACAGUACGUGAAAUUGUCAAAAGGGAAGCGUUUGACACCAGUGUUGUUUUUCUGAAAUCAAUUAAAGAACUGUUUAUGCUAAGUUGUUUAGACUUUAUCAGCUAACUGUUUAGUUUUGAGCUUUUCUUUAAUGCACUUUUCAGUUAACAAGUCAACAUCAAUUUCUUUUGCUGUAAAAAAGCUUGAGGAAGGUGGCUUGAGAUUCGUCUUAAGUGUUUAUAGCCUCUUGCCUAUGCAGUCGGAGAGAUUGAGGUCUGCAGCGUAGAUCCUUCGGGGCUAAAUGCAUUUGUGCUAAGUUAUAGCAUUUUAUAGACAACUUGUUGACUAUGAUUAGUCAUUGUAGCUUACUCGCUUAUGUUAUUUUACCUACGCUUAGGAUGUUGAGCGCAUGUCUCUCUCU
Molecule: ribosomal RNA, 774 nt
Filed under: uncultured Neocallimastigales
Lineage: Eukaryota; Fungi; Neocallimastigomycota; Neocallimastigomycetes; Neocallimastigales
Description: partial large subunit ribosomal RNA
Rfam family: Eukaryotic large subunit ribosomal RNA
Source: RNAcentral